AUACGGAGGGUGCAAGCGUUACUCGGAAUCACUGGGCGUAAAGCGCGCGCAGGCGGCUAUUUAAGUGGGAUGUGAAAGCCUACGGCUCAACCGUAGAACUGCGUCCAAAACUAUUUAGCUAGAGUGUGGGAGAGGAAGAUGGAAUUAGUUGUGUAGGGGUAAAAUCCGUAGAGAUAACUAGGAAUACCAAAAGCGAAGGCAAUCUUCUGGAACACUACUGACGCUGAGGCGCGAAAGCGUGGGGAGCAAACGGGAUUAGAAACCCUAGUAGUCC
This 274-nucleotide ribosomal RNA is filed under the name uncultured bacterium. RNAcentral describes it as "partial 16S ribosomal RNA". It matches the Rfam family "Bacterial small subunit ribosomal RNA", at positions 523 to 796 of the family's 1533-position model. The record is from RNAcentral.